ACACGACUACAUUAGAUACCCCGGUAGUCCUAGCCGUAAACGAUACUCGCUAGGUGUCGGCCACGGUGCGACCGUUGUCGGUGCCGUAGGGAAGCCGUGAAGCGAGCCACCUGGGAAGUACGGCCGCAAGGCUGAAACUUAAAGGAAUUGGCGGGGGAGCACAACAACGGGUGGAGCCUGCGGUUUAAUUGGAUUCAACGCCGGAAAUCUUACCGGGACCGACAGCAACAUGAAGGCCAAGCUGAAGACUUUGCCGGAUUAGCUG
This 265-nucleotide ribosomal RNA is filed under the name uncultured archaeon. RNAcentral describes it as "partial 16S ribosomal RNA". It matches the Rfam family "Archaeal small subunit ribosomal RNA", at positions 717 to 982 of the family's 1478-position model. The record is from RNAcentral.